RNAcentral lists this microRNA (22 nucleotides) under Hyalella azteca. RNAcentral describes it as "miR-489". The record is from RNAcentral. Lineage: Eukaryota; Metazoa; Arthropoda; Malacostraca; Amphipoda; Hyalellidae.
UGACAUCACAUAUAUGGCAGUU